CCUACGGGAGGCAGCAGUGGGGAAUAUUGGACAAUGGGGGCAACCCUGAUCCAGCAAUGCCGCGUGUGUGAAGAAGGCCUUCGGGUUGUAAAGCACUUUUAUCGGGAACGAAAUCUGCUCGGCCAAUACCCGUGCAGUCUGACGGUACCCGAGGAAUAAGCACCGGCUAACUUCGUGCCAGCAGCCGCGGUAAUACGAAGGGUGCAAGCGUUAAUCGGAAUUACUGGGCGUAACCUGUGCGUAGGCGGUUUGUUAAGUCUGUCGUGAAAGCCCCGGGCUCAACCUGGGAAUGGCGAUGGAUACUGGCAAGCUGGAGUGUGAUAGAGGAUGGUGGAAUUCCCGGUGUAGCGGUGAAAUGCGUAGAGAUCGGGAGGAACAUCAGUGGCGAAGGCGGCAUCUGGAUCAACACUGACGCUGAGGCACGAAAGCGUGGGAGCAAACAGGAUUAGAUACCCUGGUAGUCCACGCCCUAAACGAUGCGAACUGGAUGUUGGUGCCAACUCGGGCAUCAGUGUCGAAGCUAACGCGUUAAGUUCGCCGCCUGGGGAGUACGGUCGCACAGACUGAAACUCAAAUGAAUUGACGGGGA
RNAcentral lists this ribosomal RNA (589 nucleotides) under uncultured Frateuria sp. RNAcentral describes it as "bacterial SSU rRNA". It matches the Rfam family "Bacterial small subunit ribosomal RNA", at positions 338 to 919 of the family's 1533-position model. The record is from RNAcentral. Lineage: Bacteria; Pseudomonadati; Pseudomonadota; Gammaproteobacteria; Lysobacterales; Rhodanobacteraceae.